UUGAGCAUGCAGGCCUUUGGACUGCACAAGUUUUUUUUUUCUUGACCCAAGGUGUUUAUUGCCUUCAAGGGGAAAGCUCAUGGUGCCAACGUGUGAGCAUGUUUAUCCUCAGAAAGAAAGAAAUGUGGUCAUUGAGGAUGGCUAUGAUAUGAUUGAGGGUUGGCACUCAAUGUAUCUUUAGAGCCUAUGGCUUAUUUA
This 198-nucleotide unclassified non-coding RNA is filed under the name uncultured fungus. RNAcentral describes it as "sequence contains ITS1". The record is from RNAcentral. Lineage: Eukaryota; Fungi.